GGGGGUGUAGCUCAGUGGCAGAGCACAUGCUUAGCAUGCAUGAGGCCCCAGGUUCAAUCUCUGGCAUCUCCA
Dama dama (fallow deer) is the source of this 72-nucleotide non-coding RNA. Lineage: Eukaryota; Metazoa; Chordata; Mammalia; Artiodactyla; Cervidae. The record is from the annotation of a RefSeq genome assembly.